Molecule: ribosomal RNA, 449 nt
Filed under: uncultured bacterium
Lineage: Bacteria
Description: partial 16S ribosomal RNA
Rfam family: Bacterial small subunit ribosomal RNA
Source: RNAcentral
AAUGAACGCUGGCGGCAUGCCUAACACAUGCAAGUCGAACGAAGGCUUCGGCCUUAGUGGCGCACGGGUGCGUAACGCGUGGGAAUCUGCCCUCAGGUUCGGAAUACCAGCGAGAAAUUGCUGCUAAUACCGGAUGAUAUCGCGAGAUCAAAGAUUUAUCGCCUGAGGAUGAGCCCGCGUAGGAUUAGCUAGUUGGUGUGGUAAAGGCGCACCAAGGCGACGAUCCUUAGCUGGUCUGAGAGGAUGAUCAGCCACACUGGGACUGAGACACGGCCCAGACUCCUACGGGAGGCAGAAGUGGGGAAUAUUGGACAAUGGGCGAAAGCCUGAUCCAGCAAUGCCGCGUGAGUGAUGAAGGCCUUAGGGUUGUAAAGCUCUUUUACCCGGGAUGAUAAUGACAGUACCGGGAGAAUAAGCUCCGGCUAACUCCGUGCCAGCCGCCGCAGUAA